RNAcentral lists this ribosomal RNA (1610 nucleotides) under metagenome. RNAcentral describes it as "bacterial LSU rRNA". It matches the Rfam family "Bacterial large subunit ribosomal RNA", at positions 1418 to 2912 of the family's 2925-position model. The record is from RNAcentral.
GUGGAUAUUCCCGUACCGACCAUGGACCGGCAAAACCGAGACGGUGAGUACUAACCUCCGCCUCGUGGUGGUUCCUUCCUUCGGGUUGGUUCCGCCGCGUGGUGUUGGGACCGUAGCCGCAGUAGGUCAGCGCAGGGGUGACACGGAAUGGGAGCCGGCCGCGGAGGUGGUUUUCCGUGGUCAAGCACGCAGCCAGUCAUGUAGGCAAAUCCGCAUGGCGCGCAUGGCGAGGUGUGAUGAUGGGAGCCGUUAUGGCUCGAUAUCCGGUUGUCCAGGCCGUCGAGAAAAGCCUCGGCGUGAGGGCCAUGGCCGCCCGUACCCCAAACCGACACUGGUGGUCAGGUAGAGAAUACCAAGGCGAUCGAGCAAAUCCUGGUCAAGGAACUCGGCAAAUCACUCCCGUGCCUUCGGUAUAAGGGAGACCCGCUGGGGUGAACCGGCUAGCCCGGGGAGCUUUGGUGGGUGGCACAGACCAGGGGGUAGCGACUGUUUACCAAAAACACAGGUGCAUGCGAAGGCGAAAGCCGCUGUAUAUGCACUGACGCCUGCCCGGUGCCGGAAGGUUAAGAGGAUCCGUCAAUCCCUUCGGGAUGAAGCGGUGAAUUCAAGCCCCGGUAAACGGCGGUGGUAACAAUAACCAUCCUAAGGUAGCGAAAUUCCUUGUCGGGUAAGUUCCGACCUGCACGAAUGGCGUAACGACUUCCCCACUGUCUCGACCAGGAGCUCGGCGAAAUUGCAGUACGAGUAAAGAUGCUCGUUAAGCGCAGAAGGACGAAAAGACCCCGGGACCUUUACUAUACCUUGGUAUUGGCGUUAGGCGCGGAUUGUGUAGCAUAGGCGGAGGCUUCGAAGCGUGGGCGCCAGCUCAUGUGGAGCCGCAAGGUGAAAUACCGCUCUGUUCUCGUUUGACGUCUAACCUCGACAAGUCAUCCUUGUCAGGGACAGUGCCUGGCGGGUAGUUCAACUGGGGCGGUUGCCUCCCAAAGAGUAACGGAGGCGCUCAAAGGUCCGCUCGGCCCGGUUGGCAAUCGGGUGUCGAGUGUAAUCGCACAAGCGGGCUUGACUGCGAGGACGACGGUCCGAGCAGGGACGAAAGUCGGAGAUAGUGAUCCGGUGCCGGCGCACGGGCGCGGCAUCGCUCAACGGAUAAAAGGUACCCCGGGGAUAACAGGCUGAUCAUUCCCAAGAGUCCAUAUCGACGGGAUGGUUUGGCACCUCGAUGUCGGCUCGUCGCAUCCUGGGGCUGGAGCAGGUCCCAAGGGUUCGGCUGUUCGCCGAUUAAAGCGGCACGCGAGCUGGGUUCAGAACGUCGUGAGACAGUUUGGUCUCUAUCCUCUGCGCUCGUUGGAAUCCUGAGGAGGCCUGCCCAUAGUACGAGAGGACCUGGGUGGACGAACCUCUGGUAUGCCGGUUGUCGCGCCAGCGGCACGGCCGGUUGGCUACGUUCGGGAGGGAUAACCGCUGAAAGCAUCUAAGCGGGAAGCCUGCUCCAAGAUUAGGAUUCCAUGGAUCUUCGAGAUCCUGUAGCCCGCAUGUUGAACACGUGUUUGAUAGGCCGGAGGUGGAAGUCCCGUGAGGGGUGGAGCCGACCGGUACUAACGGGCGACGGC